This 253-nucleotide ribosomal RNA is filed under the name uncultured bacterium. RNAcentral's name for it is "partial 16S ribosomal RNA". It matches the Rfam family "Bacterial small subunit ribosomal RNA", at positions 524 to 776 of the family's 1533-position model. The record is from RNAcentral.
UACGGAGGGUGCAAGCGUUAAUCGGAAUCACUGGGCGUAAAGCGCACGCAGGCGGUCUGUUAAGUCGGACGUGAAAUCCCCGGGCUCAACCCGGGAACUGCAGUCGAAACUGGCAGACUAGAGUAUUGUAGAGGGAGGUAGAAUUCCAGGUGUAGCGGUGAAAUGCGUAGAGAUCUGGAGGAAUACCGGUGGCGAAGGCGGCCCCCUGGACAAAGACUGACGCUCAGGGGCGAAAGCGUGGGGAGCAAACAGG